CCGCAAUAUCGGCCAGGGACAAUUUCUACGGAAAACCAAAAAGAAAACUGGAGUCACCCAAUUCAAUUGUGGCGUGCUGUGAAAUUCAAAUUAACAUAUAAUGAUUGACCAACCAGGAGUAUUCUGUCCAGGAAAUCAUGAAGCUGAGAUGUGCUAUGGAGGAGAAGCUGAUCUACACAAACAUGUUACUGGCUGUAAGAAGAAUCCAGGUCACAAAGGUUUAUACCUCUUAAAGAUUUCACUGCAAGUUGUCUCCCCACACGUUACCAUGACGACCUCAUGUCUGAGACAAUCAAAACAUUGGCAGCCCUAACUGUCCAGGUAAAGACUAAAUUCACCAGUCUAGAGAGACCAGAGUUUUACCUAGACACUCAAGUUCCAUAUCCAUGUUAUAAAGACAGAGGAAGUCACGUGAUGAGGUUCGGGACGGGGAGGGUGUGGCGUGUGUACAAGUACACAGAGAGGGACAGAACUUGCCGUU
This is a long non-coding RNA of Physella acuta, 481 nucleotides long. RefSeq lists it as uncharacterized. The record is from RefSeq and is a predicted model, not a curated record. NCBI's taxonomy places the organism in Eukaryota, Metazoa, Mollusca, Gastropoda, Physidae.